This is a long non-coding RNA of Bradysia coprophila, 507 nucleotides long. NCBI's taxonomy places the organism in Eukaryota, Metazoa, Arthropoda, Insecta, Diptera, Sciaridae. The record is from RefSeq and is a predicted model, not a curated record.
GUUCAGGAAAAAGAAAAAUCAUCGUCCUGAGUGAUAUAAAAACGAAUGUUUACUAAGCAGAUCGAACAGUCAGUGCUAAUUUUCCUGCCAUGAAACAUUUUAUUGUGGUUGCUCUUCUAGCCGUCGUUGCUACGGCAACCGAUGUAGACAGUAGUAGCAGUGAUAGUGCAUCUCGCACUCCGGCAUAUCCUCCAACUUGUUGCGACAGGAAAUUUGGAUGUACAGCAAGUGAGUUGGAACCAUAUUGUCCAGCAUGCGUGUCAAACUGUCCAACUGCUGGAUGUCCUUGCACAUUCCCAGGAACGAGUGAAGUUAUUAACCCAAGACCAGCACCACCUGUAGUACCACGUGCCCCAUUUUGCCCGCAGUGUCCGAAAUUCCUUUGUCCACGUAUAUUAAUAGCAUGCGUUAAUACCAGCACGAACAUAUGUACAGCAAAGCAAAUUCAAUCUUGGAUUAAUUGAAUUUUGUUUUAUUGAGUUGAAUAAAGAAGUUGUGGUCUUAGAA